CCGGAAGGGGCAGGUCUUGUGGGCGGGUCCAAUCGGCUGGGAGCCUCGUGGAGGCUGAGAUUGCUUCACCUGUGGUAUCAGACAUCAGAACAUGGGGCUCACCAAGCAGUACCUACGCUAUGUUGCUAGUGCGGUCUUUGGCGUUAUCGGCAGCCAAAAAGGUCUAGCUAGCCAACAUCAAGUUCCUUUGUGUUCUUCGCCACUAAAUUCUGAAAACCACAAUGAAAUAGGAGCUUAUUUCUUAGAUGUCUAUUUGUUGGAAUAUUUACAGAUUCUUAUCCUUCAGGGGCUUAAACAAGAAGUUACUUGCUUAUGCCCCUCCCCAGAUGGGCUACACUUAGCUGUUGGGUAUGAGGAUGGGUCGAUCCGAAUCUUCAGUCUCCUGAGUGGUGAAGGAAAUGUGACCUUCAAUGGUCACAAAGCAGCUAUCACUACCUUGAAGUAUGAUCAGCUAGGAGGCAGACUGGCAUCUGGGUCCAAGGACACAGAUAUUAUUGUAUGGGAUGUGAUCAAUGAAAGUGGUCUGUACCGUCUAAAGGGGCACAAGGAUGCCAUCACACAAGCAUUGUUUCUACGAGAAAAGAACCUGCUAGUUACUAGUGGGAAAGAUACCAUGGUGAAAUGGUGGGACCUUGAUACUCAGCACUGCUUUAAAACAAUGGUUGGCCACCGGACUGAG
Molecule: small RNA, 679 nt
Filed under: Pan troglodytes (chimpanzee)
Lineage: Eukaryota; Metazoa; Chordata; Mammalia; Primates; Hominidae
Description: processed transcript
Source: RNAcentral